AAAUAGAUGAUUUGUGCUUGAAUCUAGGGAUGUAAUGGUGGAUUUUUACCUAGUUGUAAUCUAGGGCUUCAAAUUGGGGUUUUGAGAAAUUAUGGGGUUUGAUCUAAAUUGAACCUCUGUAAACCUAAUUGCUAGGUAUUCUGACGCGUUGGCGAAGUCGGUUCGGCGAUCCGUCGAGCCUGUGCAAGAUAUUGAAGAAAAGGCCUGUUGAGGUACAGAUUGCCGCAGCACGCAGCGUAGGCGUU
RNAcentral lists this long non-coding RNA (245 nucleotides) under Ananas comosus (pineapple). Its description in RNAcentral is "long non-coding RNA (ACOM_LNC021373)". The record is from RNAcentral. Lineage: Eukaryota; Viridiplantae; Streptophyta; Magnoliopsida; Poales; Bromeliaceae.